This 623-nucleotide ribosomal RNA is filed under the name uncultured archaeon. Its description in RNAcentral is "bacterial SSU rRNA". It matches the Rfam family "Archaeal small subunit ribosomal RNA", at positions 146 to 774 of the family's 1478-position model. The record is from RNAcentral.
AUAAUACUCCAUAGAUUAGAGACACUGGAAUGUUCUUUAGUCGAAAGUUCUGGCGCCUUAGGAUGGAUCUGCGGUCGAUUAGGUUGUUGUUGGGGUAACGGCCCAACAAGCCUGUAAUCGGUACGGGUUGUGGGAGCAAGAGCCCGGAGAUGGAAUCUGAGACACGAUUCCAGGCCCUACGGGGCGCAGCAGGCGCGAAAACUUUACAAUGCAGGAAACUGUGAUAAGGGAACUCCGAGUGCCCGUAUACGCGGGCUGUCCAGGUGUUUAAAAAUCAUCUGAAGAAAGGGCCGGGCAAGACCGGUGCCAGCCGCCGCGGUAAUACCGGCGGCUCGAGUGGUGGCCACUAUUAUUGGGCUUAAAGCGUCCGUAGCUGGACCGAUAAGUCUCUUGGGAAAUCCGCCGGCUCAACCGGCGGGCGUCUAAGGGAUACUGUUAGUCUAGGGACCGGGAGAGGUGAGAGGUACUCCGGGGGUAGGAGUGAAAUCCUGUAAUCCCCGGGGGACCACCGAUGGCGAAGGCAUCUCACCAGAACGGCUCCGACAGUGAGGGACGAAAGCUGGGGGAGCGAACCGGAUUAGAUACCCGGGUAGUCCCAGCCGUAAACUAUGCGCGUUAGGUGU